Molecule: non-coding RNA, 70 nt
Organism: Dipodomys ordii (Ord's kangaroo rat)
Lineage: Eukaryota; Metazoa; Chordata; Mammalia; Rodentia; Heteromyidae
Source: Rfam
GAGAGUGUGGCUCAAUAGUAGAGUGCUUGCUUUGCAAGCACGAGGCCCUGGGUUUGAUUCCUCAGCACCA